RNAcentral lists this ribosomal RNA (36 nucleotides) under Polypogon fugax. Its description in RNAcentral is "partial 26S ribosomal RNA". Lineage: Eukaryota; Viridiplantae; Streptophyta; Magnoliopsida; Poales; Poaceae. The record is from RNAcentral. RNAcentral also lists the same sequence under 4 other names.
GACCCCAGGUCAGGCGGGACUACCCGCUGAAUUUAA